ACAGACUUUCACUCAGCUGCACACGGACAUGCAGACGGCCACGAGCAAGGAAUGCUUCAUCAUCUUCAUCAGGACACUUCAUCAUCACAGCCACCAGGAUGUUAGAGCUAGGAGGAUGAUGAUGAUGAAGGUUUGGGGUUCGCGUUGUCGUGCAGCUUCCUCCUGGACUGAAAUAACUUCUCCGCCUGAGGCAUCCAUCAGCUUCUCCUCCUCUGCAUCUUUAUCAACACUCACUGUGAAUUCUGACACUGACGUAGUUUUCCUGGUCAGCAGACACCUCCGAUCACGAUCAAACCGCCGUCGCACGGCCGACACCAGAAAUAAACCCAAAAUGUGUGAAGCUGGAAGGCUUCAUGCAGAGAGAGGAAUUACGAGCCCCGAUCAUCACGUCAGUGGAGAGAGUGGACAGCUUCCGGUACCUGGGUGUCCACAUCACUCUGUCAUGGUCCUGCAACAUCAACACCCUGGUUAAGAAAACCCGCCAGCGUCUCUUCUUCCUCAGAACACUUAGAGACUUCCAUCAUGUGGUUGACGGUGCUCAAGAACUUCCACUCCUGCACCAUCAAGAGCAUCCUGACGGGAAACAUCUACACCUGGUUUGGGAACAGCACCAAGCAGGACAGAUCUGCAAAGAGUGGUGAAGGCAUCAUUCGAUCAGAGCUUUCCGACCUGCUGUCCAGGUGUAGGACUCAUUCACCGCACACACUGUUUAUCUGCACACCUCUUAUCAUUUCUCUCUUAAAUUGUUAUUUGCACAUUUUUUUUACUGUAAAUUUCCAAGUUAAAAUCUGUCAGUUCUGUCAUGAUCUGUAAAUUCUUUAAUGGUCUGCCAUUGCACAGCAACAAGCAUUUCAACACGUCAUACUGUGUAUGGUUGUGUGUGAUAGCUUUAUGCUACAAACCUAUUCACUGGAACGUUAAGGACAAUUUAAUUACACAGCAAAGCAAGACACGAGUAGGCAAAGUUCUUCAUGUUUCUCGUGCACGGGAGAGAACUGGACAAACGCCGUUCCUUCGCUUGACCCCAGUUGCUCUCAUCUGCUCCCCCGUAACACUGC
Astatotilapia calliptera (eastern happy) is the source of this 1058-nucleotide long non-coding RNA. The record is from Ensembl. NCBI's taxonomy places the organism in Eukaryota, Metazoa, Chordata, Actinopteri, Cichliformes, Cichlidae.